This 40-nucleotide transfer RNA is filed under the name Restio degenerans. RNAcentral's name for it is "partial tRNA-Phe". The record is from RNAcentral. Lineage: Eukaryota; Viridiplantae; Streptophyta; Magnoliopsida; Poales; Restionaceae.
GUCAGGAUAGCNCAGUUGGUAGAGCAGAGGACUGAAAAUC